Molecule: microRNA precursor, 114 nt
Filed under: Xyrichtys novacula (pearly razorfish)
Lineage: Eukaryota; Metazoa; Chordata; Actinopteri; Labriformes; Labridae
Source: RNAcentral
UUCCGAUGAUCAUGGUAAUAGUUCUGAUGGUAACCAUGGUUACCAUCAGGCCUGUUGCAAUGAUCAUCAGAACUGUCACCAUGGUUACCAUCAGAACUAUUACCAUGACCAUCA